UUCGAUCUCAUGACUUCAUGAUCCCCGGUCUCUCAAAGUGCUGGGAUUACAGGCGUGAGCCACCACAACCGGUCUCUGUGCUUAAUUUUUUAGCCCAUGAGAGCUAAGGCUGUGCCUGCUGCAUUUACCAAUAUCGGUGCCUGACAUGUGGCGAGACCCAUUUCACAGAGAAUGGAUGAGUGAAUGACAGGCUGAGUGGGUGAUGAGUGGGUGGAUGAACCAAUAGUAGGAACACGCUACAUCUACUGUAACCUGGCAGAGAUCUAGCAUUAAGUAAAAGAAAGCCCACCCCUUUGAUUGCUGGGCUCAGGUCAGUCUUGGAAAUUGAUGGGGAAUCACUAUCCUGGCGACCACACCUGGGUCAAGGCUUCCUCUUGUGGCUGCAGCACCUGACCUCCUGCAGGUCUCUGUGCCCUCCUUCAGGGUCUUCCCCCACAACAAAUCAAGACAGAUCAGAGAUCUACCUCUAGAAUUCCACUCUUAAAGGUUGUUCCUUGAAACCACUUCUGGUAAGAAAAUCUCCAUUAGGUUUGCAUCAAUAAAACAGGGCCACUACAAGUUUGAGAGUGUGAGAGAUUUAUGAUCAGAAUUACACUUUAUGCACAUGGGAGGAGCUGAGGAAGACAAGGUCUUGAGGAGAGAAGUCAGAAGGUGAAGGAGCCAGUCAGUAGCCAGGGCUUCUGGAGGUCUGGGCAGGACAGGCUGGAGUGGCAGGGACAUGAGAGGAUCAGAGCAGGCCAGGCCAUGCAGUGGGACUUUGAGCUGGGAGAACAGGAAAAGGCCAAGGAAACCUGCUUCUGGGGAAACUGUUCCCUCUGUGUGGGGGCCACCCCUGCAGGUGCACUGCCAAACACUGGGGGCAGCCUGGCUGCUGUUGGCCAGCAUUUGAGAAGAUGAACUGGACACAGGGUUCAGAAGAAACAGGACUUCCAAGGUCUGUUGGAUGCCUCUGUAUCUGAUGGUCACUGAUUCUCACUGUCUGACCACAAUGACCUGCCAAUUGUUAUAGUGACGGUUUUAUAUCCAUCUUCUAAAUUUUACCAAAUUGUAUUUGGUAAAAUACAAAUUUUACAUAAUGACUUAAUACAACCCAGCACAGGAGGGAUUCUCCCAGAUUAGGCACCAGAUCAACAACUGUCUCAACCUGCCAUGGUCCGUGGACUCCACUCCGGGGGACACCUGUGCUGCCCAGGUGACUGUGGACACAACUUGUAUGCAGAUGUUCUAGACACUGGCUACUAACUGUUCUUUUAAUCCUGUGCCUGGAAUCUCACUCCACCCAGAGGCAGUGCUCUGCCUCCUGCUUCUGUUUCCUUCCUGAGCUUCCGUCCUGCUGGAGUUGCGGGGACAUCAGACUCCUGCUCAGAGUGCAGCGACCUGUGGAGUUGAAGGGAAGCUCACCUCUUGCUGCCUUCCUGGACCCAGUUCUUUUAUAAGCAAAGCAAGUGCUCUGGUCUCUCUUUGAACUCUGCAAUAUGAGAAAUAUGCUUCAUGAAUUUGUAGCUGAUCAGCUCAAUGAUUUGAUAGCAAACUCAAAGUGGAAUCUUCAUAUCUGCAGAAAUUACCCUGCAUUUCUGUGAAGAUGGCGAGAAUACUGUGUGGUAGAGAUACCUUCUCUCCAUGUAGAGACCUGGCCCCCAAACAAGACAGAGCAGAGAGGGCCAAAGAGCCCAAAACAUGUCUCAGAUGGUUGAAAGACAAUUUCCCAGGACACUCCUGCUGACAACAAUUGGUCCCUCAUAUUGCACGCCUAACCACCCUUCCCCCCAGAUCAGCUGAGUCCCCAGGAUAUCACACAUCCCAGCAUCUUCCAACAAGCAAAAAUACUUCGCAUGCCAGCCUCCUUCCUGCACCACAUUGACUAACCCCAGAAACAGACUUUCCAGAAAAAAGCUCUGUCUUCUCUUGGCCCAGUCUAGCCUGGUAGGUUUAAUUCAUGAUUUGUGUGACCUUUUAACUUACUCAAAGGAGAACACAUGAUUUCAGAGUAAAGAAUGUUAAUUUCAUUUGUAUAAAUUGGACCUAAACAGUAAACUGAGUACUUUUCUUCCAUCAGUGUCUUAAAUUGGACAAUGGUAAAACAAGUCUUAGAUGCUAGAACUUUUUAGGUCCUGGUGUUUUUCAUAUGGAAGUUUCCAGUUACCCAGUCCAGAGCAUGGAAUAGAUGAGCAUUAGUAAGUCACUCUACGCUUGAGAUGAUUUUCUAUGGGUAUCUUUUCUGAGUUAGAGUUAACAAAGGUGGGAAGUGAUCCCAGAAGAAAGGCAUGAGGGCAGUUCAUGAGGGAACUCAUGUGAUGUGACAGUCCCAUUGGGCACCAGUGACUGGGGGAAUGGAGGAGUCUGGGGCAUGAAUGGGGAUGGCAGAGGGGAUCCUGUUUUGCAGGAAAGACAAUGAGCUCACCUCUUUGUGCCCUAUGUUAGGGGCAGUGUUGGUGCAUCCUACAGGACAUGCCCAGCAGACAGAGGAGUGGCUGUAGGAUGAGAAGAUGAACUCAGAGAUGCAGUGUGAGGCCUCCGGGUACAGACAGAUCUGGAGCCCAAAACGAUGAGCCAUACAUUGAUAUUGUUAAAACGGAGGUUAUACAUAUUUAAAGUGUCACCCAAGUGUGUUCUAGUAUAAAUGCUGUGACCCUGAGUUCCUGGGGAUUGAGAGAGGAAGUGAUGUCACUGUGGGAACUGCCCUGUGGGGACAAGGACGUCCGUCAUCCUCUGCUCCUGCUCACAGUGACACUGAUCUGGUAACCCCCCGUCCUGGCCUGACCCUGCCAUGGGCACCAGGCUCCUCUGCUGGGUGGUCCUGGGUUUCCUAGGGACAGAUCACACAGGUGCUGGAGUCUCCCAGUCUCCCAGGUACAAAGUAAUAAAGAAGGGACAGGAUGUAGCUCUCAGGUGUGAUCCAAUUUCGGGUCAUGCAGCCCUCUAUUGGUACCAACAGGCCCUGGGGCAGGGCCCGGAGUUUCUGACUUACUUCAAUUAUAAAGAUCAACCAGACAAAUCAGGGCUGCCCAAUAAUCGGUUCUCUGCAGAGAGGCCUGAGGGAUCCUUCUCCACUCUGACGAUCCAGCGAACAGAGCAGCAGGACUCGGCCGUGUAUCUCUGUGCCAGCAGCUUAGCCACAGCGUGGCACAGUCACCUCCUUCCUGUUCACAAACCUCAUCCUUCACUCUCCUGCAGUUCCCAGAGACCCUUGACAGAGGCCUGUCUUUGCUCCUCACUUUUCAUGGGAAAGAGGUGGAUUUGGACUUCGGCUGUCCUUUGGGUAGAAAGAGACCACAGAUUCAUUUCUGAAACACAGUGACUGCAAAUGUAGGUGGUGAAAACAAUCAGGGCCCACUGUGCUCUAGGAGUCCUCGCAGCCAGCUCACUUCUCCAAGCAAGGAGUGGGUGUCUCAGCCUCGGCCUUCAGGGCAGACAUGCAUCUUCUAUAGGUUUUGGAGGCUGCAGUGCUGCCCACAUACAUGAGGUUGUCAAGGGCAGGAAACAUGCCUCUUCUGCAUAUGUUGGGGCAUCUGGAAGGUCUGAGGCUACAUCACCAGGAACAUCUUUCUUCUGAAGCCUCUUCUAUCCCUGUCACCUUGGAGGUUUUCUGCAACAAAAUAUCAAACCUCUCUUCCUGUUUGAAGUAAAGGUCUUUGCAACUUUUGUGGUCCUUACGUGAUAAAUACAAUCAUGAUAACAA
Non-coding RNA from Chlorocebus sabaeus (green monkey), 3679 nucleotides. The record is from the annotation of a RefSeq genome assembly. Lineage: Eukaryota; Metazoa; Chordata; Mammalia; Primates; Cercopithecidae.